Molecule: ribosomal RNA, 433 nt
Filed under: uncultured bacterium
Lineage: Bacteria
Description: partial 16S ribosomal RNA
Rfam family: Bacterial small subunit ribosomal RNA
Source: RNAcentral
AACGAACGCUGGCGGCAGGCCUAACACAUGCCAGUCAAGCGCGCCCUUCGGGGUGAGCGGCGGACGGGUGAGUAACGCGUGGGAACGUGCCCUUCUCUGCGGAAUAGCCUCGGGAAACUGAGAGUAAUACCGCAUACGCCCUUUGGGGGAAAGAUUUAUCGGAGAAGGAUCGGCCCGCGUUGGAUUAGGUAGUUGGUGGGGUAAUGGCCCACCAAGCCGACGAUCCAUAGCUGGUUUGAGAGGAUGAUCAGCCACACUGGGACUGAGACACGGCCCAGACUCCUACGGGAGGCAGCAGUGGGGAAUCUUAGACAAUGGGGGCAACCCUGAUCUAGCCAUGCCGCGUGAGUGAUGAAGGCCUUAGGGUUGUAAAGCUCUUUCAGCUGGGAAGAUAAUGACGGUACCAGCAGAAGAAGCCCCGGCUAACUCCGUG